GAAAAGUAUUUGUUUUUAGUGAAAAUAUAUUGAUAUAGGAGUUGUUUUUUAGUGGAAUGUAUGUAUAAUUUGAUGGAUUGGAUAAGAAUGCUCUUACCAUUAUCACUUUUGAUCUUAAUCAUACAAAAUAGUACCGAUCUGUGGAUUAGACAGGAGCUGCGACGACCAAUAGUGCUUGCUGAUGUGAUUAGAACAGAAGGUACACUCAGGGGCGGAUCUAGGUAAAGAACUAUGGGUUCGCACAAACCCACUCGGUUUCAACUUUUUAGUAGAAAAGAUAAUAGAAAAAUUAGGAUGAACCCAUUAACGAAAUUGUAGGGAUGACACAGUGGUUAAGGAAUGCGCCUUCCAUACAUCAGGUCACCGGUUUAUUAUGUUUUCGUAUUUUAUUAUGUUUCUCGACCCGAUCUGACCCGAUCCAACCCGAAAGAUCUAACUUUUAGUUGUGAGAAAUCUGACCACCUAAAAAAAUUAAACCCAUAGGAAAAAAUUUCUGGAUCCGUCGUUGGGUGCACGACCAUUGGCGCCGAUGCAGUUUGGGUUGGUUCACAGCUGCAGCCGCUUAACUAAAUGGUUCAGUUUUAUAUUACUGGGACAACUUUUUUGUUUUCAAAUUUUUCAAAAAUGAUAUAAAAAACCUAAAGCUAAAUGCUUUAGAGUUUUGAACUUUCAACUGAACUCUUACAUCCAGCUUAGCUUUGAAUCAUCUAAAUCUUAAAUAGUGAAUUGAUUCACAUAUGUAUCUUAAACCAUCUUAGCUGACCUUCCCAUGACUUCAAUUGUUUAAUACAUAUUAGAGUUAUGACCCACCCAUCUUGACAUUCAUUUUGUUAGUGAAUGCUCAUGUGGGUUUUGUGGUAUCACUUACCAGCAGAGAUUGAUGGCCUGAAUGAUUCUUCCCAAGUAUGCCACUUUAUAAUACCGAUUUCUCAUUUGUUUAUAUAGUUUUUAUGUUGUGUUUUAUUACAGAGUAAAAUGCCAUUUUCGUCCUUGAGGUUUGUCAAGUUUUGCUACUUUCGUCCAAAGGUUUGUUUUUCCGCAUCUUGAUCCAAAAGGUUUGAAAUCUUGCCAUUUUCAUUCAGAUCGUUAACUCGAUCCAUUUUUCCUCCGUUAAGUUAGGGGUAUUUCCAUCUUUUUUUGUUAACUUUAAGGGCAAUUCGGUCAUUUUAAUUUUAUGUACAAGCAUUUAGCAUAAUGUACAAGUAUUCAAAAGACCAAAUUGCCCUUUAAGUUAAGAAAAAAGACGAAAAUACCCCUUACUUAAUGGAGAAAAAUGGAUGGAGUUAACAAGCCGGAUGAAAUUGACAAAAUUUCAACCAUUUGGAUCCAGAUGCAGAAAAUAAACCUUUGAACGAAAACCGCAAAACUGGCCAAACCUCAGGGACGAAAAUGGCAUUUUAUGCUUUAUUAAUUUUCAACCUCUUUUUUUAGGAUUUGUUUAUAAUAGAAGCAAGCAACAGACCAGAUCUUGUAGAUGCAGCACUUCUAAGGCUUGGUCGGUUUGAUAAGCUACUUUAACUGAAUCAACGCUUGGUUCCAUGCUGCAAAGCGCAAGCCGCCGAUGCAGAUCCAACUAACAUGAAGGAUGACGUUGAUUAUGUGGUUGUUGAAUAUGAAGAUUUUGUGCAGAAAUUAAGGUUCCAACUGCCAUAUUAGAAGGCGAGCUUUACCAGUUAUACCCACAAGAAGAAGUCAAACAUGGGAAUAUAUUAUUAGAAAAUCAAGAAGUAAGUUCCAUGAUUUAUAGGACUAGAUAGGAAGGGUUAUAUUUUUCUCUGUUUAGGGUUAGGGGUUUAAAGUUCAAUGAAUAAAAUAGUUUUUGACAAAAGCUAGAUUGAGAGCUUUGUGAAGAUAUUCAAAGGUGUUGGUCAUGGAUGGGCUUAUAGAUAUAGCGAGGAUAAUGAAUCUGUUGAGAGGAGUGCUGAGGUGGCCAAGCAUGUGAUUUUUUAAGCGGGUCGAGUGGUUAUUUUUCUAAUCUCACUUAUGAAGGUGUAACAUGAUAUACUUGAAGCCAAGAACCUUACACUAGCAUUCAUCAUUGUAAAGCAUUGUGCUUUGGAGUAGAAUGUCGAGUUAGCUUCUGAAGUUGGAGACUUUACUUGAUGAUAGCGUGGGGCAAAAUGUCGAGUUGGAAUUUGAAAGGAGUGGCACGUCUUUGACCGUUCAGUUGGUGGCUGAAGACUUACACUCAAUAACUCUUUCGGAGUUAGGAUUGACACGUCUUUGUGAUGUACAUUUUAGAGGUGAGAUUUUUAACCUGUAUACCUACAAAAGUGUUGACUUAAGUUAUGUUGUAUGUCUAAUUAGUUUAACGGUUUUAGGUAAAAGCUUUAACUGAAUAGGAAACCACUUGAAAGUCUCUAUAAGAGUACACCUAGCUGAGUAGCCGUAGAAUAAUCAUUUUUGUUACUUGAAUGAUUUGAUAAACUUAUCACUAUUUUUUUUAUUGCAAACAAAGUUCAUCAGAUAUUAACGGUACGUUGUCAAUUCAUAGGCAAGUGCGGAGCCGCCAGUGAAGGCUGCUGACCAUACGGGACAGAACUAUAUCAGCCUUAGGAGGACAUGCUAAAGAAUGCAAAUAAUCAAGGAACAACCAUCCUCCAUACUCUGAAGGUAGAUUAUACUUUGGGAGAUUUCGAGGUAGUUUUAUGGAGCUACACAUAUUGGUGGUUGUUUAGGAGAGUUAACGGGCUCUCAUAUUCAUCGCUUUUCAUGGAGAAGGUAUCUAUCCGGCAACCCUUAGACGUGAAGCCCGACUUUGGAAAGGUAUUGCUGGGUUUGGUGGUAAGUGCAGGUUAUUGGACUUGGGUUUGACUUGGAUGAUGGCUAGAAGCUUGAAGUUUGUUGCUGAUGCGUAUGAAAGCCAACAGAGUUUUGAAGAUUGAUGUUUUUUGUUUGAACUGUAUUUUGUCUUGAUUUUGGUUGUUUUCGUUUGUUUUUUGUUUGGAUUUUGAAUAGGUUUUAUGUUUGUAAUACUUGGGUUGUGUGUGGUCGUGAGUAGAGUUAGAAGUAAUAAUUGUUAUUGGUUAGAGCGGUUGGGGUAGGGGUUUGUUAAAACCCGUUCUGUAAGGCCUUAGGCGUUUUUGAGGUUGGUGUUCUUGGGGUAUGUCUCGAAAGACCCAAUGCUCUUUAGGUGUAACUAUUAUUUUUUUAAUUUUAUUAAAUAAAGUUUUGACGG
Helianthus annuus (common sunflower) is the source of this 3178-nucleotide long non-coding RNA. RefSeq lists it as uncharacterized. The record is from RefSeq and is a predicted model, not a curated record. The transcript is spliced from 9 exons. Lineage: Eukaryota; Viridiplantae; Streptophyta; Magnoliopsida; Asterales; Asteraceae.